Molecule: ribosomal RNA, 465 nt
Filed under: uncultured delta proteobacterium
Lineage: Bacteria; Deltaproteobacteria
Description: partial 16S ribosomal RNA
Rfam family: Bacterial small subunit ribosomal RNA
Source: RNAcentral
CCUACGGGAGGCAGCAGUGGGGAAUCUUGCGCAAUGGGGGAAACCCUGACGCAGCAACGCCGCGUGGGUGAUGAAGGCCUUCGGGUCGUAAAGCCCUGUCAGGUGGGAAGAAACUUAUGGAUGUUAAUACCAUCCAUGCUUGACGGUACCACCGGAGGAAGCACCGGCUAACUCCGUGCCAGCAGCCGCGGUAAUACGGAGGGUGCAAGCGUUGUUCGGAAUUAUUGGGCGUAAAGCGCGUGUAGGCGGUCGGGUAAGUCAGAUGUAAAAGCCUCUCGCUUAACGGGAGAAGUGCAUUUGAGACUGCUCGGCUAGAGUACGGGAGAGGAGAGUGGAAUUCCCGGUGUAGAGGUAAAAUUCGUAGAUAUCGGGAGGAACACCAGUGGCGAAUGCGGCUCUCUGGUCCGAUACUGACGCUGAAACGCGAAAGCGUGGGGAGCAAACAGGAUUAGAUCCCCUGGUAGU